This 77-nucleotide transfer RNA is filed under the name Hymenobacter sp. RNAcentral's name for it is "tRNA-Ala". It matches the Rfam family "tRNA". From Rfam's summary of the family: Transfer RNA (tRNA) molecules are approximately 80 nucleotides in length. Their secondary structure includes four short double-helical elements and three loops (D, anti-codon, and T loops). Lineage: Bacteria; Pseudomonadati; Bacteroidota; Cytophagia; Cytophagales; Hymenobacteraceae. The record is from RNAcentral.
GGGGGAUUAGCUCAGCUGGCUAGAGCGAUUGCUCCGCAAGCAAUAGGUCAUCGGUUCGACUCCGAUAUUCUCCACAA